RNAcentral lists this ribosomal RNA (253 nucleotides) under uncultured bacterium. Its description in RNAcentral is "partial 16S ribosomal RNA". It matches the Rfam family "Bacterial small subunit ribosomal RNA", at positions 524 to 776 of the family's 1533-position model. The record is from RNAcentral.
UACGUAGGCAGCGAGCGUUGUUCGGAGUUACUGGGCGUAAAGGGUGUGUAGGCGGUUCUUUAAGUUUGGGGUGAAAUCUCCCGGCUCAACCGGGAGGGUGCGCCGAAUACUGAGGGACUAGAGUGCGGGAGAGGAAAGUGGAAUUCCUGGUGUAGCGGUGAAAUGCGUAGAUAUCGGGAGGAACACCAGUGGCGAAGGCGGCUUCCUGGCCUGUUCUUGACGCUGAGGCGCGAAAGCUAGGGGAGCAAACGGG